CGGGGGGAGCAAGCGUUGUUCGGAUUUACUGGGCGUAAAGGGCGCGUAGGCGGCCACCGCAAGUCAAUUGUGAAAUCUCCGGGCUUAACUCGGAAAGGUCAACUGAUACUGCGGGGCUAGAGUGCGGAAGGGGCAACUGGAAUUCUCGGUGUAGCGGUGAAAUGCGUAGAUAUCGAGAGGAACACCUGCGGCGAAGGCGGGUUGCUGGGCCGACACUGACGCUGAUGCGCGAAAGCCAGGGGAGCGAACGGGAUUAGAUACCCCGGUAGUCCUGGCCUUAAACGAUGAAUGCUUGGUGUCUGGGGUUAUAAAGUCCCCGGGUGCCGUCGCUAACGCUUUAAGCAUUCCGCCUGGGGAGUACGGUCGCAAGACUG
This 374-nucleotide ribosomal RNA is filed under the name uncultured organism. RNAcentral's name for it is "bacterial SSU rRNA". It matches the Rfam family "Bacterial small subunit ribosomal RNA", at positions 526 to 896 of the family's 1533-position model. The record is from RNAcentral.